Molecule: transfer RNA, 73 nt
Filed under: Candidatus Woesearchaeota archaeon
Lineage: Archaea; Nanobdellati; Candidatus Woesearchaeota
Description: tRNA-Trp
Rfam family: tRNA
About the family: Transfer RNA (tRNA) molecules are approximately 80 nucleotides in length.
Source: RNAcentral
GGGGAUGUAGUAUAACCUGGCAUUAUUUCCGGCUCCAGACCGGACGAUUAGGGUUCAAAUCCCUACAUCCCCA